CAGCCACAUCUACAGCUACCACCAGCGGAAUGGCUUUGCCUGCAUCUUGCUGGAGGAUGUCUUCCAGCUGGGACAAUUUAUUUUCAUUGUCACCUUCACAACCUUCCUCCUUCGAUGCGUGGAUUACAAUGUUCUCUUUGCCAACCAACCAAGUAACCAUACCAGACCUGGGCCGUUCCACAGCAAAGUGACCCUGUCAGAUGCCAUCCUACCCUCAGCCCAGUGUGCUGAGAGGAUCCGCUCCAGCCCGCUGCUGGUCCUCCUCCUGGUCCUGGCUGCCGGCUUCUGGCUGGUCCAACUGCUUCGCUCAGUCUGCAACCUCUUCAGCUACUGGGACAUCCAGGUGUUUUACAGGGAGGCCCUGCACAUCCCCCCGGUGAGCUGGGUGGCUGUGUCUGUGCAGAGGGUGCCGUGAGAGGGUGGGCAGAGGAGAGGGGAAGAAGUGGGACUGUACAGGUGGAAGGGCCAACUGGAAAGAGGGCAGAAAGAGCGAGGUCUUAUUGACACCUGCCCUAGGCCCAGAAUAAUGUCAGGAGGGGGCUACCACCACCUAGAGAGCAUGGCCCUUACCCUAAGGGAGUUUAGUUUAUUUAGAUGGCUCAUAUAAGAUGACAUAUAGUUACAUGUUUGUGCUAAAAACAUUGAU
Molecule: long non-coding RNA, 646 nt
Filed under: Homo sapiens (human)
Lineage: Eukaryota; Metazoa; Chordata; Mammalia; Primates; Hominidae
Description: non-protein coding lnc-ATG9B-2:5
Source: RNAcentral